UUCGGGGGCGCAGCCUGAUGCAGCCAUGCCGCGUGUGUGAAGAAGGCCUUCGGGUUGUAAAGCACUUUCAGCGAGGAGGAAGGCGUUGUAGUUAAUAGCUGCAGCGAUUGACGUUACUCGCAGAAGAAGCACCGGCUAACUCCGUGCCAGCAGCCGCGGUAA
This 162-nucleotide ribosomal RNA is filed under the name uncultured Pseudomonas sp. RNAcentral's name for it is "partial 16S ribosomal RNA". It matches the Rfam family "Bacterial small subunit ribosomal RNA", at positions 370 to 523 of the family's 1533-position model. Lineage: Bacteria; Pseudomonadati; Pseudomonadota; Gammaproteobacteria; Pseudomonadales; Pseudomonadaceae. The record is from RNAcentral.